CGUCUAUAUACGUAUAGCAUAUCAAUAAGCGGAGGAAAAGAAACUAACAAGGAUUCCCCUAGUAACGGCGAGUGAAGCGGGAAGAGCUCAAAUUUGAAAUCUUCAAGGGUUUCCCUUGACGAAUUGUAGUUUAAAGAAGUGUUCUCUGUUGGAGUUUUGGUAAAGGUUCUUUGGAAUAGGACAUCAUAGAGGGUGAGAAUCCCGUAUUUGACCAUUAUUUCCAGCUUUGUGAUACACUUUCAAAGAGUCGGAUUGUUUGGGAAUGCAGUCCAAAAUGGGUGGUAAAUUUCAUCUAAAGCUAAAUAUUGGCGAGAGACCGAUAGCGAACAAGUACCGUGAGGGAAAGAUGAAAAGAACUUUGAAAAGAGAGUUAAACAGUACGUGAAAUUGUCAAAAGGGAAGCGUUUGACACCAGUGUUGUUUAGUUCGAAAAUCAAUUAAAAAUGUUGUGAUUUUAGUAGUAUUGACUUCAUCAGCUUGCUGCUUUCUUCUCAUAAAUUAUUUAAUGCACUUUUCAGUUAACAAGUCAACAUCAAUUUCUUUUGUUGUAAAAGGGUAAGAGGAAGGUGGCUUGCGCUUCGGCUCAAGUGUUUAUAGCCUUUUAUCUCUGCAAUCGGAGAGAUUGAGGUCUGCAGCGUAGAUCCUUCGGGGUUAGAUACAUUGGUGCUAAGCUAUAGCCUUGUAUAGACAACUUGUUGACUAUGCUCAGUCAUGUAGCUUACUCGCUGAUGCUAUUUUACCUACGCUUAGGAUGUUGAUAGUCACAGCGUGUAC
This 774-nucleotide ribosomal RNA is filed under the name uncultured Neocallimastigales. RNAcentral's name for it is "partial large subunit ribosomal RNA". It matches the Rfam family "Eukaryotic large subunit ribosomal RNA", at positions 26 to 631 of the family's 3401-position model. The record is from RNAcentral. Lineage: Eukaryota; Fungi; Neocallimastigomycota; Neocallimastigomycetes; Neocallimastigales.